Molecule: non-coding RNA, 53 nt
Organism: Atopostipes suicloacalis DSM 15692
Lineage: Bacteria; Bacillati; Bacillota; Bacilli; Lactobacillales; Carnobacteriaceae
Source: Rfam
GGUAUUGUUUACCACCAUGAUAAGCCCCGGAACUUAUCUUGAGAAAACAAUAA